RNAcentral lists this unclassified non-coding RNA (332 nucleotides) under soil metagenome. RNAcentral's name for it is "partial contains 5.8S ribosomal RNA, internal transcribed spacer 2, and large subunit ribosomal RNA". The stretch from base 1 to 120 matches the Rfam family "5.8S ribosomal RNA", at positions 35 to 154 of the family's 154-position model. The record is from RNAcentral.
GAUGAAGAACGUAGCGAAAUGCGAUAAGUAGUGUGAAUUGCAGAAUUCAGUGAAUCAUCGAAUCUUUGAACGCACAUUGCGCCCUUUGGUAUUCCUUAGGGCAUGCCUGUUCGAGCGUCAUUUAAACCUUCAAGCUAAGCUUGGUGUUGGGUGACUGUCCGCUUCACGGCGGACUCGCCUCAAAAUUAUUGGCGGCCGGUACAUUGGCUUCGAGCGCAGCAGAAACGCGAACUCGGGCCCGUCGUAUUGGCUCCCAGAAGCUAUCUUCACAAUUUUGACCUCGGAUCAUGUAGGGAUACCCGCUGAACUUAAGCAUAUCAAUAAGCGGAGGA